CGGUCCCUAUCUGCCGUGGGCGCUGGAGAACUGAGGGGGGCUGCUCCUAGUACGAGAGGACCGGAGUGGACGCAUCACUGGUGUUCGGGUUGUCAUGCCAAUGGCACUGCCCGGUAGCUAAAUGCGGAAGAGAUAAGUGCUGAAAGCAUCUAAGCACGAAACUUGCCCCGAGAUGAGUUCUCCCUGACUCCUUGAGAGUCCUGAAGGAACGUUGAAGACGACGACGUUGAUAGGCCGGGUGUGUAAGCGCAGCGAUGCGUUGAGCUAACCGGUACUAAUGAACCGUGAGGCUUAACCUUACAACGCCGAAGGUGUUU
RNAcentral lists this ribosomal RNA (317 nucleotides) under Escherichia coli. RNAcentral's name for it is "partial 23S ribosomal RNA". It matches the Rfam family "Bacterial large subunit ribosomal RNA", at positions 2632 to 2925 of the family's 2925-position model. The record is from RNAcentral. Lineage: Bacteria; Pseudomonadati; Pseudomonadota; Gammaproteobacteria; Enterobacterales; Enterobacteriaceae.